UCUUUUCCUUUUGUUUCAGCAGCCGCGGUAAAACGUAGGUCACAAGCGUUGUCCGGAAUUACUGGGUGUAAAGGGAGCGCAGGCGGGAAGACAAGUUGGAAGUGAAAUCCAUGGGCUCAACCCAUGAACUGCUUUCAAAACUGUUUUUCUUGAGUAGUGCAGAGGUAGGCGGAAUUCCCGGUGUAGCGGUGGAAUGCGUAGAUAUCGGGAGGAACACCAGUGGCGAAGGCGGCCUACUGGGCACCAACUGACGCUGAGGCUCGAAAGUGUGGGUAGCAAACAGG
This 284-nucleotide ribosomal RNA is filed under the name Faecalibacterium prausnitzii. RNAcentral's name for it is "partial 16S ribosomal RNA". It matches the Rfam family "Bacterial small subunit ribosomal RNA", at positions 493 to 776 of the family's 1533-position model. The record is from RNAcentral. Lineage: Bacteria; Bacillati; Bacillota; Clostridia; Eubacteriales; Oscillospiraceae.